UGGGGAAUAUUGGACAAUGGGCGCAAGCCUGAUCCAGCAAUGCCGCGUGUGUGAAGAAGGCCUGCGGGUUGUAAAGCACUUUCAGUGGGGAGGAAGUGAUUAUCGUGAAUAGCGAUGAUUGUUGACGUUACCCACAGAAGAAGCACCGGCUAACUCUGUGCCAGCAGCCGCGGUAAUACAGAGGGUGCAAGCGUUAAUCGGAAUUACUGGGCGUAAAGGGUGCGUAGGUGGUUGAUUAAGUUGUAUGUGAAAUCCCUGGGCUUAACCUAGGAAUUGCGUACAAGACUGGUCGACUAGAGUUUGGGAGAGGGAAGUGGAAUUUCCGGUGUAGCGGUGAAAUGCGUAGAUAUCGGAAGGAACACCAGUGGCGAAGGCGACUUCCUGGCCCGAUACUGACACUGAGGCACGAAAGCGUGGGGAGCAAACAGGAUUAGAUACCCCCGUAGUCC
Molecule: ribosomal RNA, 449 nt
Filed under: uncultured bacterium
Lineage: Bacteria
Description: bacterial SSU rRNA
Rfam family: Bacterial small subunit ribosomal RNA
Source: RNAcentral